Molecule: ribosomal RNA, 460 nt
Filed under: uncultured bacterium
Lineage: Bacteria
Description: partial 16S ribosomal RNA
Rfam family: Bacterial small subunit ribosomal RNA
Source: RNAcentral
CCUACGGGAGGCAGCAGUGAGGAAUAUUGGUCAAUGGGCUUACGCCUGAACCAGCCAAGUCGCGUGAGGGAAGACUGCCCUAUGUGUUGUAACCCUCUUUUGUCAGGGAGCAACGCCGGCUACGUGUCGCCGGACUGAGAGUACCGGAAGAAAACGCAUCGGCUAACUCCGGGCCAGCAACCGCGGUACUACGGAGGAUGCGAGCGUUAUCCGGAUUUAUUGGGUUUAAAGGGUGCGUAGGCGGAAUGCCAAGUCAGCGGUAAAAUCGCGGGGCUCAACCUCGCUCAGCGGUUGAAACUGGCGUUCUGGAGUGGGCGAGAAGUAUGCGGAAUGCGUGGUGUAGCGGUGAAAUGCAUAGAUAUCACGCAGAACUCCGAUUGCGAAGGCAGCAUACCGGCGCCCAACUGACGCUGAAGCACGAAAGCGUGGGUAUCGAACAGGAUUAGAUACCCUUGUAGUC